GCAGACACGCUCCGACUCCGGUCUGGUGUACGGGUUGCACUCGGACUCUCUGGCUAUUCUGUGUGCUCCCAUCUGACAGCCCACACUUCUCCGCCGUGUGCCUUGGCCGCAGGACACAGAGCACUAAGAAGAAAGACCGUAGGAUAAACUCUCAUUUUCCCAGUCGGUUGGGAAGGAGGUGAAAAAGCCACGUUAGAAACUGAAAGGUAAGCUAGCAGGUGAAGAUGGUACAAGGACCCAACCUUUGUGCUUGCCACGGGAUUGUUCAUGAAGGCAGUCUGGAAGACGGGGGGAUAGUGGGUGAGAUAUUUGUGCCAGGAUCCUUAUUCUCAGCUAUUGCAAAGUUCCCAAACCAUAGCCAAGUCUUAUCCUUCACCUGCCAUGUGGAUGGAGGAAUACGUGGUUGGGACAAUGAAGGCUGAAGAAAGGAACAGAACCCAAAGUGGUGGACUGUCCUACCAAUGGGAACAGAGAAGAUGCAGCAUUGCCCAAAGAAGAGCUUAGUUUUAGCUCAAGAAACAGUUUGGAAGACAUCUCAAUGAAUUUGAUGGGUUUUAUUUCAGCCAGAGAGCUUUUAGGGUGAACUCACUUUUUAAUAAAUUUUAAUGUCAUUAUUCACUUGUAGGGCAGCAGGUUAUAUAUUCUAUAGCACACCUUAUCACCACAAACAUCUGCAGAUCCCCUAUCUGGCUUCGACAAAAUCUGAUCUAUUGUCCCGAUUAUCUACAGAUCCACUGAACAAAAAACAAACAAACAAACAAAAAACUUAGAUUUAUUACCCCAGGUUAUUUCAUUUCUCUUUGUAUAUUAAAACGUCAGACAUACCACCCAAUGAGUGUCUAUUAAAUAUGGGAUGCUUUUUUUCUCAAAAUCUCCUAAAAAACCUAAA
Mirounga angustirostris (Northern elephant seal) is the source of this 889-nucleotide long non-coding RNA. RefSeq lists it as uncharacterized. The record is from RefSeq and is a predicted model, not a curated record. The transcript is spliced from 4 exons. NCBI's taxonomy places the organism in Eukaryota, Metazoa, Chordata, Mammalia, Carnivora, Phocidae.